AUUUACUUCAGAAGAACAUAUACUAAAAUUGGAAUGAUACAGAGAAAAUUAGCAUUGCCCCUAUGAUCAUGCACAAAUUUGUGAAACAUUCCAUAUUUCU
RNAcentral lists this small nuclear RNA (100 nucleotides) under Sciurus vulgaris (Eurasian red squirrel). The record is from RNAcentral. Lineage: Eukaryota; Metazoa; Chordata; Mammalia; Rodentia; Sciuridae.